CCUACGGGUGGCAGCAGUGGGGAAUAUUGGUCAAUGGACGAGAGUCUGAACCAGCCAAGUAGCGUGAAGGAUGACUGCCCUAUGGGUUGUAAACUUCUUUUAUAAAGGAAUAAAACGAGGCACGUUUUCCUGUUUGCAUGUACUUUAUGAAUGAGGAUCGGCUAACUCCGUGCCAGCAGCCGCGGUAAUACGGAGGAUCCGAGCGUUAUCCGGAGUGUUUGGGUUUAAAGGGAGCGUAGAUGGGUUGUUAAGUCAGUUGUGAAAGUUCGCGGCUCAACCGUAAAAUUGCAAUUGAUACUGGCAGUCUUGAGUACAGUUGAGGUAGGCGGAAUUCGUGGUGUAGCGGUGAAAUGCUUAGAUAUCCCGAAGAACCCCGAUUGCGAAGGCAGCUUACUAAACUGUGACUGACACUGAUGCUCGAAAGUGUGGGUAUCAAACAGGAUUAGAUACCCCGGUAGUC
Molecule: ribosomal RNA, 460 nt
Filed under: uncultured bacterium
Lineage: Bacteria
Description: partial 16S ribosomal RNA
Rfam family: Bacterial small subunit ribosomal RNA
Source: RNAcentral